UUAGCAUAUGAUGAGAAUCGAGACAAGGUGUCUGCAUUGCGCCCGAUCCAAAUCGGGAAGCGAGAAGCAUGAUGACUCCAUCUAGGGGAAUCUCUGAUGCAAG
Molecule: small nucleolar RNA, 103 nt
Filed under: Oryza punctata
Lineage: Eukaryota; Viridiplantae; Streptophyta; Magnoliopsida; Poales; Poaceae
Description: snoRNA snoR44_J54
Rfam family: Small nucleolar RNA R44/J54/Z268 family
About the family: R44, J54 and Z268 are members of the C/D class of snoRNA which contain the C (UGAUGA) and D (CUGA) box motifs. Most of the members of the box C/D family function in directing site-specific 2'-O-methylation of substrate RNAs.
Source: Rfam by way of RNAcentral